This 76-nucleotide transfer RNA is filed under the name Pyrenophora tritici-repentis Pt-1C-BFP. RNAcentral's name for it is "tRNA-Lys (TTT) (tRNA-Lys-TTT-3-1)". It matches the Rfam family "tRNA". From Rfam's summary of the family: Transfer RNA (tRNA) molecules are approximately 80 nucleotides in length. Their secondary structure includes four short double-helical elements and three loops (D, anti-codon, and T loops). Lineage: Eukaryota; Fungi; Ascomycota; Dothideomycetes; Pleosporales; Pleosporaceae. The record is from RNAcentral.
GGGGGGAUGGCGCAGUGGUAAAGCGCCUAGUAUUCCUUUAUAGUAGAGGUCGAAGGUUCGAAUCCUUCUCCUCUCA